GUGGUUUCCUGACCUGCUGCAGAGUAAAGAAACUCAGCCCGGAGAUUGGGCUGAAAGUAGACUAGACGUCAGAGCAUGGAGGUUUAGAACGCAGGGAAACAAAAACAUAAAGGCAAAUCGUUUUAAAAAUAUAUUCAAAUCAGGUAUGUUUUUCAAACCACCAACCUCUAGUGGCAUCCAGGGGGAAAAAGUGAAUUUCGAGAAUCUGUGGGUGGAAAAUAGAAUCACAGCAUCUUUGGGAGAGGUUCUUUAGUUCAGUGAGACCCGUUUGCCAUCUGAAUACCGUGGCUUGAAGUACCCCAUAAAAAACGAAAAUCUGGACGUAAUUACUACACCAUCCUACUUGCCAACGGGGCCAGUCCAGGACUUCCACUGAUGGCUUCAGCCCUCACACCCCCAGGCCAGGAGCCAGCAGGACAUCCCAGGCACCACAGCACGAUCCACCUGGGGUCCACUGGGCCCCAGCAGAGAGCUGACACCUGCUUGCCAUCAUGGAGGAGCCUGCCGUCAAGAGGCGCCUGAAGAUGAUUCAACUCAACACUUCAGUCUAUGAAGAUGUGGCCGGGUGUCUUCCGGUGCAGGAAUAUGUCUCGUAUACACACCACUGUCAUAUCAAGUUCAAGGCCCUCAGGGUGCCUACAAGAAGGCCCACAUGGCUAUUCUGUGCUCUGGGCCAGCCCCUCAGGACUGCCCCUUCCAUGAAGAGAUGGAUUGGGUGCUGCAGAUCAAGAGAUGGAUUGGGUGCACCAGCCCAGCCCACCUCAGGGAGCAGACCCGGCCAUGGGAUCUUGACCACCACAACCAGCUGACCCAGCAAAGAAAAAAAAAGUCAUUAGCAGAAAGAUGGGCCAGAAGGGUGCUCUCCUCAGUAGCAGCAGCAGCAGAGGCACCAGAACCAGAGGUGGAAGAUGGAGACAGAGCAUCAGUUUAAGCUAGAAAUGGAAGUGUUGGAGCUGCCCAUGACCUCCGACUUGAAAGCCCGGCUGGUACCCAGACCAACAAGACAACCGAGGUGGAGAUUAGCCAGGAUGCCUAAGAAACUGGGCCAGAAGUCCAGAGGGGACCAGUCUCCAGACAGAGAACAGCCUCAGAGAGAAACUUCGUCAUCAGCUCCUGGGGUGUCUACAGUGCCCCCUAGAGCACAGGUGCCACCGAUGAACAAAAAAGACUGACCUAAAAUGCCUCGCUUUCCCUCCUCCCUGGUUCACCUCGAGAGGGACUUAAUGUUCACCGAACUUGAGCUUCAGCCUCCAAGCGGAGGCAGUUAAUGGGAAGGUUUCAAAAGGAGUCAGAGGAACCCCCUCCUGCCGUUUACCUAAAUUCGCCAAUUGUCUCCUUUUGCCCCAUUUGCUGGCCUUUACCCUCAGUAGUAGGGGCCCUCUCUCCCUGACCAGGCCACCUGGAGGUCUGUCCCGGCCACCCACUGAGGGCCCUGCAAUUCCAGGGAUGGGAAGUUGACUUUGACGUUAAAGAAGUUAAAGAACAGCAAAACCCUCCUCAGGAGGGAACAGAUGACUUCGAGUACCUUCUUAGACCUCGAAACCCUGGGCCGCUGACUUUGCCGCUAUUCACACUUGAAGUGAGUUUAUCAGCUUUUCUCCAGUCAGACUCGUAGCUGAAAGCAGAUCCUCGUGCAAAGAAGAGUUGAUCCUCAGAGAUAGGUCCAGGGCGAGGGUGUCGCCCGUCAGGGACCACCUGAAUUGGAUUCUGCAGUUUGGGAACUUGGCGCUCACCAAGGGAAAGCUAGAAUGAAAAAAGUAGAGAACAGGGAGAGAAAAGAGAAAGAAGUUCUCCAAGGAAAGAACAAACCAAGACCUAAACAAAACAAAACCUACACGUUCUGGCUUCCCACUUCCUAUCUUUGCAGUAAAGGUUUCCCUGAGCGACUACUAAACAAAAUUCACGUAAGUGAUAGUCCUUGGUGCAAGAAGUCGGCCACCAGGGGACGUAGACUGUCGGAGAAACAUAGGCUUAAAUUCAGCCUGUAACGACAAAAUUACUCAGGCUUUGUCAGCGCUGUUCUAGUUCUGUUGCUUCUACAACCAGCUGUGUGGCUUCCAGAGUCCAGUGUAGACGACUGGGAGGCUGUCUGCACCUGGGACGUUGAACAGUCUCAGAGUCCAGGCUCAUGGGCUGGUGGGCUCAGCCUGAAACCGCACCCCUCGGUUGGGACUCGAACCCACAGUCUUCCAACUGAAACCACGCAACAUGUCUCAGGAAUUAAUGAAGCUCAGGUUCUUCAUGUCUCGGCACAGAAGGAAUUCAGUGAGAGGCAAAGUGAUAGGUAAGAAAUAAAUUUAUUAAUAACCUUUGUAAAGAGGUUGCAGGAAAAUAGGGUACAAGAGGAUGGUCAUGCCCCAUGUCUCAGAUGAGUCCCUGGAACAGGCCGUCAAGUGAGGUCCUUGGCUUCAGGCAGGAAAGAAUUCAAGAGCAGAGCCACGGUAAAGUGAAAUCAGAGAUACACAUUCUAUAGACAGAAUGUGGUCCUUCUCAGAAGGCGAGAGCGACCCCAAAGAAAUAUGGGAUAGUUAGUCCAUAGGCUAAUGAGUAGGAGGAUUAUUCUAACUAUUUGGGAGGGAGGGGUAGAGAUUUCUAGGAACUGGAUCACCACCCACUUUUUGGCCUUUUAUGGUUGGCCUCAGAACCAUCGUGGUGCCUGUGGGUGUGUCAUUUAGCAUGUUAAUAUAUUACGAGUGUAUAAUGAGGCUCAAGGUCUACUGGAAGUUGAAUCUUGCCACCAUCUUGGGCCUAAUGGGUUCGAACCACUUUAUGUCAUAUCGUCAAUAGCUAUGUCAUUCUUUUAAAGGUUGUGCCCUGCCCUCUUACCUCCUGUCUCCAACAUGCCUGUAGACUUGUUUUCUUUUUUUUUUUUUGGCGGUACGCGGGCCUCUCACUGUUGUGGCCUCUCCCGUUGCAGAGCACAGGCUCUGGACGCGCAG
This is a long non-coding RNA of Aethalodelphis obliquidens (Pacific white-sided dolphin), 2939 nucleotides long. RefSeq lists it as uncharacterized. The record is from RefSeq and is a predicted model, not a curated record. The transcript has 5 exons. Lineage: Eukaryota; Metazoa; Chordata; Mammalia; Artiodactyla; Delphinidae.